GCCCGCCUAGCUCAACGGUUAGAGUAACUUGCACUUUGCCUGUUGGCUGCGAGUUCGACUCUCGCGGCGUGCU
Imleria badia is the source of this 73-nucleotide non-coding RNA. The record is from the annotation of a GenBank genome assembly. Lineage: Eukaryota; Fungi; Basidiomycota; Agaricomycetes; Boletales; Boletaceae.